CCUCUGAGGGCAGCCUUUGCCAGUGCCUCAUCACCCUUAUUGUAAAAAACUUCCUUAUGUUCAAUCUAAAUCUCCUCUCUAUUAAUCCAAAACCAUUUCCACUUGUCCUAUCACAAGAGACCCUGCAUUAGUAACCUGCUCUGUGUAUGAGACACACAGAAAGCUUGCAGAAAGCCUAUGGAUGUGUUUAGGCUUGGUAAAUAUGUACAAGAAGAAAAAAAACAGUGAUUUUGUUUACCCAUCUCAAUACCUCAACAUCACAUGAGAGUCCUAUUUUGCUCUCAGUCCCUCGAGUAAGACAAAGGCCCAAUCCCCUUACUGACAUGUCCAGGUUUUGUAGUCCAUAUACAGAGCAUGUUGCAUGAGGGGGUUUCUGGUGACAGAGAGUUGGAGAAUAUCAAUGACAAAAUUGACCAAGAUUUCAUUUUUCCUGGUAACUUUCCAUUUGUGGAUGAGGUGCCAUGGAGACACGGAUAUGUCUGAUGAUUCCCCAGGACUCCUGGUGUGGGAUUGGUGUCACCUGCCCAUGCAUCCUGUUGUGCUUAGCCACCAAGGAGGCCCUUCGGAGGCUGGUGGUCAUGCUGAGACUGAUGGUGCAGCAGAUGAAGAAAAGCUGCAUGUAUGUGAUAGCUGUGCGGAAAGCUGCUCUGGGUAUGCAGUCUGCACUGUCUUGCUCCUUGGUUGUUUGCCAUAACACUGACUUCUCCCAGCCAGGCUGCAUCCUGAACAAAUGAUUAAAUGAGAUAUGGUGUCAUGGGACGGGCCCAAGUCCUUCCCUAGAUGAAAGUGUUGCCCACGCUAUCACUGGCAUUGGUGGUUGUCUUAGGGGGAGCACAGAGAACAGGGGUGAAUUGUCCUGAGACGGAAAAGACAUGGUAGGGUUGGCCGGCAUGGACCACAAGGGCAGUGAGAGUGUCCUGGUGGCUUCAGGCUCCUUUGCUUCCUGAGAUGACAUUACAGCACUGGCAUUUGCUGGGAUGCUUGGCAGCGCAUCCCCUGUAGCUGAUGAAAAGGCUUUGUACAAGGGGACAGCGUGGGCUGCCUUGCAGAGAGGCAGGCUUCCCACGUUGCCAAUUAACUGCAAUCUCAGCGACUCCAAUGUCUUUUUUUUGGGGCUGGAGCCAUUUAGCCCACUCAGAGGACUUCAUGCCCUUGCUGUCGAGCCCAGUGGAGCUGAACAUAACCCUUGUUUUUCCUAUCAUUUCACACAGAGCUGAGGUCACCGAGUUCCCAUUUAGCCACCCUUAUAUUCAGCAUUUCCUCCUGCAGAGCCUACACUCCCUGCUCCUCCCAGAGAGCAGCUCCCAUCAUCUCAACUUGCAAAUGGAAGGGGAGCACAGAGCAGCAAGAAAAGAGAUUGAGCAUCAUUCUCUCUCUCUCUAUGUAGCUUAAAUACAGAAAUUUAAACACCUCCUGGAGGGAGGAGUGCACUCAGGCACCCUCUCAAUUCUUUUCCUUUGCAUUUUGUUCAUGGUAAAUCUUUAUUUACAGUGAUAGCGAGUGUGGGUUGUGGUGCUAGAAGUGUAGGCGUGUGGGCAGUGGGGUUGGAAAUUGGCCCAGCAAUCUGCUGGUUUUAUGACUGUGUGUAUUGGCUGCUAGCAGCACCCAUGAUACACUACGGGUUUUCCCCUACUCAAGAAGGGUCAGCCCUAGACCCAAGGAAUAACGUCUAGCUCCAGGAGGGAGAAGAGAAAUGAAGGGUAACAUGGAAGCUGUCCGCCUUCUGACCUGGAAUCAGGGAGCCUUGCUCUUUGCUGCACCUUAUCCAUGGCCAGAUUCACAAGCAGCAGUGUUCUGUAGGGGUAGGCAUUAGUGAAGGCAUGAGCUCAAAGCAUGGUGAUGGUGCAUACCAUGUCAGAACAGGAAUUAACCAAGCUGGCCACACACACUGUGCUAAACUCAUGCAGUAGGGAUCUCCAAAAGUGUGCAAGCUUGGAGCCAGCCCCUCCUGGUUAGGGCUGGGGUUUGCUUUGAGAUGCUUGCCUUUUGUUGUGGAGAGACCUCUCUCUUCUGGAGUCAAAGUGCAAAAAUACAGUCAUAGCCCUGUUAUGCCCAUAACUUGUCUGUGUGUUUUUAUGCUUUCUUUUGCUGGGUGAUAGAUUACUCUAAUGGCUGUGCUGACAUUCAUUUAAUGGUACUCACUAACACUUUCAUUUAAUAAAAGACUUUUCUCACUUUGAA
Long non-coding RNA from Gallus gallus (chicken), 2181 nucleotides. RefSeq lists it as uncharacterized. The transcript is spliced from 2 exons. NCBI's taxonomy places the organism in Eukaryota, Metazoa, Chordata, Aves, Galliformes, Phasianidae. The record is from RefSeq and is a predicted model, not a curated record.